Molecule: ribosomal RNA, 440 nt
Filed under: uncultured bacterium
Lineage: Bacteria
Description: bacterial SSU rRNA
Rfam family: Bacterial small subunit ribosomal RNA
Source: RNAcentral
CCUACGGGGGGCUGCAGUGGGGAAUAUUGCACAAUGGGGGAAACCCUGAUGCAGCAACGCCGCGUGAGUGAAGAAGGCCUUCGGGUCGUAAAGCUCUGUCCUAAGGGAAGAAGCAUGACGGUACCUUAGGAGGAAGCCCCGGCUAACUACGUGCCAGCAGCCGCGGUAAUACGUAGGGGGCGAGCGUUAUCCGGAAUCACUGGGCGUAAAGGGUGCGUAGGCGGCCAAUUAAGCCAGAGGUGAAAGGCUAAGGCUCAACCGUAGUAAGCCCUUGGGACUGAAUGGCUUGAGUGCAGGAGAGGAGAGUGGAAUUCCGAGGGUAGCGGUGAAAUGCGUAGAUAUUAGGGGGGACACCAGUGGAGAAGGAGACUCUACGGACUGUAACUGACGCUGAGGCACGAAAGCGUGGGGAGCAAACAGGAUUAGAUACCCAUGUAGUC